CAGCUGGGCUGAGGCAUCCAGGACAGGACCCUGUGAGGGAUAUUUCAGACUCAAACAGUAAUACAUGCUUAUGGAUUCCAAGAUACUAUUGCUCCAGGUGACUUCCUGUCCAUAGCCAGCUAAAUGAAGACUGAAAAUGGAAUGCUGGGGCAGGGGAGUUCCUGGAGAGAAGAUUCAGCAAUAAAGAGCAUGUCUUCUCGGAGAGGACCCUAGUUCUGUUCCUAGUACCCAUGUAGCAGGCUCAGGGCAGUUUUAUAUUGGCGCUGAUUGUGUAAAAGCCUGCCAAGGUCGACUCCCACCAACACCCCCAGUAUCAUUUUAUCUCCUUUUCAUACAAUAUUAGCACAUUCCUAUUUGGUGAACAGGAAGGCUCAUCUACACAUUAGCUUGUGUACAUCCUGGAAUGGUGAAGAACAUUCAAUGUCAAGUAAGCCUAUGCUCUUUGUUUAGUAUUCUCCAUAGUAUCUCUAAGACUACAUAUGACUGCAGUGAUAGUUUUCACAGGGAUGCCUCCGAUGCAGGGCUCUCUGGCACCAAUCACCACGCCCUGAAAAUUAAAACAAUUUAAAAGAAAACUUUAAGAAA
Mastomys coucha (southern multimammate mouse) is the source of this 585-nucleotide long non-coding RNA. RefSeq lists it as uncharacterized. Lineage: Eukaryota; Metazoa; Chordata; Mammalia; Rodentia; Muridae. The record is from RefSeq and is a predicted model, not a curated record. The transcript is spliced from 2 exons.